GUAAACCAGCACAUUCGGUGCUGGCGGGAUUCAGGGCGUUUCAAGAGCACUGGUUCACUCAGGGUAGUUUGUCUAGCACUCACCUCUUCAUUCAGCUACCACUUGACAGCGCAGACUCUUCAGAGGCCUGCCUGAUGCCCAUCAGCAUGAGGGACUCCAGUCUUCAUCCUUCAUCAUCACUGCACAAAACAUCUGGACGAUUGUCAAGGACGUCACAAUCUCUGUGAUAGCUGACAUAUCCCAUGGGCCAUUGCAGAAAAAGGAAAGCAAAGUCACUCUUGCGUGAGCAAAUACAGUAUGGGUGGCUCCAUUAAUGCAGUUAUCUUGUAAUGCUGACUGGGUGCUGUAUAUGAGCUAGCCUAGGAUCUACAAAUAUGCUCUUCUGCAUGAUGGGGAACCUAGAUGACACUUGCACAGGUGCAAGCACCAAUCACAGAGAUUAAGUGUUUGUUUGAUGAAGCAUUGUUUCAAUAGUCUAGUGCCCUCACACUGAGCUUUUCAACUUCUCUCCCCGUGUGACAGUUUUCAGGAAAAACAAGAUUUGUGGCUAAAAGCUGUAGAUUUACACUUCCAUCUUUUAUUUAGAUGUUCAUAUCUUCUCCCCAUAGCCAACAGCAUAAACUAAUCCUGUAUUGCGUUUCAAUAUAAUGAUAUAUAGAAAUGGUGAUUACCCUCUAAUUCAAUUGCUUGGUAAUCAAAUUGUAGUAAUGGUGCUUAUUUGGUACCCCAAUUUAUAGUUUUCCCAGAAAUCAUUAAGCAAUUUACUCUUCAAAUCUACUUUGAAUAUGCGUGAGCACAGACGCACACACACAGGCUAGUAUUAUGGUGUAUUAUAUGAAGCCCCAGCUGUUUGAGAUGAUGAUGGUAGCAGAAGGACUCUUGUGAGAGUCAUGGGUAAACAGAAAGAGUCCUGGCUGUCUUCUUCUGGACACAGACUCCUUCCUGUUUGCCAGGAUUGGGAUAAAGAUGCUGGAAUCAAAAGACGGCACUGAAACAUAUCCAAAGUUUGAGCCACGUGUGUUUACCCUUAACCUCAACAAAGCCUGCUUCCGAAUGUCUGGAAUAUCAGCCUAUCGGUACAUUUUGGAACAUUGUGAGGAAGGGCUAAAGUCUACAGAGCCUUUGCAAUCACACUUGUUUUGUUUGUGCCAUUUACUUGGUGUGUGACUGCAGCAUGUCAACGGCCUAAUGUAAUCACUUACUUUCUGUUUGCUUUCAUAAAGGGUUUUACAUGCAUUAAAUGCUGUAAUGAAUCAGUUCGGUGGAUAGAGUUGCUUAAGACCCUCCCAUCUGGGUAUUUUUUCUAACUUUCUUAAUAUUGAGUCACUUUCAGGUGAUUAUUUGGGAUGCAUUUACUGCGUACAGCUGGGGAAGGUCACCUUCCGAAUCAGUUACCUGAAUAAAUAUCAUCGUACAAGAGGAAGCUGGGUGCCGAUGCCACUCUCAUGCUGUGAAGAGCCCUCAUAAUACUACUGGCAUUGUGGUUAUGCAUAACGUGCCAUUCGGCACAAUAUUGGCACUGUGAUUUCUCCUCGCUAUAAGCCUGCCGUCCCAACUCGCCCAGCAGCCGAGGCACGGAGAGUUCUCAUGCUCUCUUAAAAGCUGCACAUACAGGCUGAGAGUCUUCUACCGCCCAGGGCUGCGCAGCAUCCACUUAGACUCUGACAGUGGCCGAUAACCCAAUCUCCAGGGGGCUUGUGGCGGAGACUGAUCUAACAGGCCCACGGUGAUGUGUCUGUGUCCAUGGUGGGCAUUUCCUUUCUUUUUCUCUCUUUCUC
This is a long non-coding RNA of Sinocyclocheilus grahami, 1778 nucleotides long. RefSeq lists it as uncharacterized. The transcript is spliced from 4 exons. Lineage: Eukaryota; Metazoa; Chordata; Actinopteri; Cypriniformes; Cyprinidae. The record is from RefSeq and is a predicted model, not a curated record.